UACGGAGGGUGCGAGCGUUGUCCGGAAUCAUUGGGCGUAAAGGGCGCGUAGGUGGCGGGACAAGCGUGCGGUGAAAGCCUGGGGCCCAACCCCGGGUCGGCCGUGCGAACUGUUUUGCUUGAGCACUGUAGAGGCAGGCGGAAUUCCGGGUGUAGCGGUGGAAUGCGUAGAGAUCCGGAAGAACACCGGUGGCGAAGGCGGCCUGCUGGGCAGUAGCUGACACUGAGGCGCGACAGCGUGGGGAGCAAACAGG
This 253-nucleotide ribosomal RNA is filed under the name uncultured bacterium. RNAcentral describes it as "partial 16S ribosomal RNA". It matches the Rfam family "Bacterial small subunit ribosomal RNA", at positions 524 to 776 of the family's 1533-position model. The record is from RNAcentral.